UUCUUAUCAAGAGCAGUGGAGGGGCUGGCCCUAUGAAACUGCGGCAACCGGAUCCCAUCCUCGGAUGGGGUUGUUAGGGUGCCAAACCCAGUCAGGCGCUUUCCCGAAAGGGGGAGUGUCGGAAAGGAUGAGAG
RNAcentral lists this non-coding RNA (134 nucleotides) under Verrucomicrobia subdivision 6. Its description in RNAcentral is "Verrucomicrobia subdivision SAM-I sequence". It matches the Rfam family "SAM riboswitch aptamer (S box leader)". Rfam says of the family: The SAM riboswitch is found upstream of a number of genes which code for proteins involved in methionine or cysteine biosynthesis in Gram-positive bacteria. The SAM riboswitch acts at the level of transcription termination control. The record is from RNAcentral. Lineage: Bacteria; Pseudomonadati; Verrucomicrobiota; Verrucomicrobiia; Verrucomicrobiales.